ACGUAGGGUGCGAGCGUUAAUCGGAAUUACUGGGCGUAAAGCGUGCGCAGGCGGUUUUGUAAGACAGAUGUGAAAGACCCGGGCUCAACCCCGGAACUGCCAUUGUAACUGCAAGGCUGGAGUGCGGCAGAGGGGGAUGGAAUUCCGGGUGUAGCGGUGAAAUGCGUAGAUAUGGGGAGGAACACCGGUGGCGAAGGCAGUCUCCUGGGCGUGAACUGACGCUCAUGCGCGAAAGCGGGGGGAGCAAACGG
Molecule: ribosomal RNA, 251 nt
Filed under: uncultured prokaryote
Description: partial 16S rRNA
Rfam family: Bacterial small subunit ribosomal RNA
Source: RNAcentral